AUACGUAGGUGGCAAGCGUUGUCCGGAAUUACUGGGUGUAAAGGGCGUGUAGGCGGAGCGGCAAGUCAGAAGUGAAAUCUCUGGGCUCAACCCGGAAACUGCUUUUGAAACUGUCGCCCUUGAGUAUCGGAGAGGCAGGCGGAAUUCCUAGUGUAGCGGUGAAAUGCGUAGAUAUUAGGAGGAACACCAGUGGAGAAGGCGGCCUGCUGGACGACAACUGACGCGGAGGCGCGAAAGCGUGGGGAGCAAACAGGAUUAGAUACCCUGGUAGUCCACGCCGUAAACGAUGGAUACUAGGUGUGGGGGGACUGACCCCCUCCGUGCCGCAGUAAACACAAUAAGUAUCCCACCUGGGGAGUACGACCGCAAGGUUGAAACUCAAAUGAAUUGACGGGG
Molecule: ribosomal RNA, 396 nt
Filed under: uncultured bacterium
Lineage: Bacteria
Description: partial 16S ribosomal RNA
Rfam family: Bacterial small subunit ribosomal RNA
Source: RNAcentral